This 73-nucleotide transfer RNA is filed under the name Bacillus cereus. Its description in RNAcentral is "tRNA-Val". It matches the Rfam family "tRNA". Rfam says of the family: Transfer RNA (tRNA) molecules are approximately 80 nucleotides in length. Their secondary structure includes four short double-helical elements and three loops (D, anti-codon, and T loops). The record is from RNAcentral. RNAcentral also lists the same sequence under 1 other name. Lineage: Bacteria; Bacillati; Bacillota; Bacilli; Caryophanales; Bacillaceae.
CUUCCCAUAACUUAGUUAGAAGAGUGCCACCUUGACAGGGUGGAGGUCGUGAGUUCGAGCCUCUCCGGGGUCA